Molecule: ribosomal RNA, 253 nt
Filed under: uncultured bacterium
Lineage: Bacteria
Description: partial 16S ribosomal RNA
Rfam family: Bacterial small subunit ribosomal RNA
Source: RNAcentral
UACGUAGGGUGCGAGCGUUAAUCGGAAUUACUGGGCGUAAAGCGUGCGCAGGCGGUUUUGUAAGCCAGAUGUGAAAGCCCCGGGCUUAACCUGGGAAUGGCAUUUGGGACUGCAAGGCUUGAGUGCGGCAGAGGAGACUGGAAUUCCUGGUGUAGCAGUGAAAUGCGUAGAGAUGUGGAGGAACACCGAUGGCGAAGGCAGCCCCCUGGGCUAACACUGACGCUCAGGCACGAAAGCGUGGGGAGCAAACAGG